Molecule: ribosomal RNA, 900 nt
Filed under: uncultured archaeon
Lineage: Archaea
Description: bacterial SSU rRNA
Rfam family: Archaeal small subunit ribosomal RNA
Source: RNAcentral
GUGUCAGCAGCCGCGGUAAAACCAGCACCUCAAGUUGUCAGGAGGAUUAUUGGGCCUAAAGCAUCCGUAGCCUGCUCUGUAAGUUUCCGGUUAAAUCCAUUAGCUCAACUAAUGGGCUGCCGGAAAAACUGCAAAGCUAGGAAGUGGGAGAGGUAGACGGUACUCGGUAGGAAGGGGUAAAAUCCUUUGAUCUAUUGAUGACCACCUGUGGCGAAGGCGGUCUACCAGAACACGUUCGACGGUGAGGGAUGAAAGCUGGGGGAGCAAACCGGAUUAGAUACCCGGGUAGUCCCAGCUGUAAACGAUGCAGACUCGGUGAUGCGCCGGCUUGUGGCCAGUGCAGUGCCGCAGGGAAGCCGUUAAGUUUGCCGCCUGGGAAGUACGUACGCAAGUAUGAAACUUAAAGGAAUUGGCGGGGGAGCACCACAAGGGGUGAAGCCUGCGGUUCAAUUGGAGUCAACGCCAGAAAUCUUACCCGGAGAGACAGCAGAAUGAAGGUCAAGCUGAAGACUUUACCAGACAAGCUGAGAGGUGGUGCAUGGCCGUCGCCAGCUCGUGCCGUGAGAUGUCCUGUUAAGUCAGGUAACGAGCGAGAUCCCUGCCUCUAGUUGCCACCAUUACUCUCAGGAGUAGUGGGGCGAAUUAGCGGGACCGCCACAGUUAAUGUGGAGGAAGGAAGGGGCCACGGCAGGUCAGUAUGCCCCGAAACUCUGGGGCCACACGCGGGCUGCAAUGGUAGUGACAAUGAGUUCCGAAACCGAAAGGUGGAGGUAAUCUUCAAACGCUACCACAGUUAUGAUUGAGGGCUGCAACUCGCCCUCAUGAAUAUGGAAUCCCUAGUAACUGCGUGUCAUUAUCGCGCGGUGAAUACGUCCCUGCUCCUUGCACACACCGCCCGUC